This 433-nucleotide ribosomal RNA is filed under the name uncultured bacterium. Its description in RNAcentral is "partial 16S ribosomal RNA". It matches the Rfam family "Bacterial small subunit ribosomal RNA", at positions 29 to 507 of the family's 1533-position model. The record is from RNAcentral.
AACGAACGCUGGCGGCAUGCCUAACACAUGCAAGUCGAACGAGAGCUUCGGGUCUAUUGGCGCACGGUUUCGUAACGCGUGGGAACCUGCCCUUAGGUUCGGAAUAACUCUCCGACAGGGGUGCUAAUACCGGAUAGUGUCUUCUGACCAAAGAUUUAUCGCCCUUGGAUGGUCCCGCGUUGAAUUAGCUAGUUCGUAGGGUAAUAGCUUACCACGGCGACGAUCCAUAGCUGGUCAGAGAGGAUGGUCAGCCACACUGGGACUGAGACACGGCCCAGACUCCUACGGGAGGCAGCAGUGGGGAAUAUUGGAAAAUGGGGGAAGGGCUGAAGGAGCAAUGAUGCGUGAGUGAUGAAAGCCUUAAAGUUGUAAAGCUCUUUUAACCGGGAUGAUAAUGACAGUACCGGAUGAAUAAGCUCCGGCUAACUCCGUG